ACGGGAGGCAGCAGUGGGGAAUAUUGGGCAAUGGGCGAAAGCCUGACCCAGCAACGCCGCGUGAAGGAAGAAGGUCUUCGGAUCGUAAACUUCUGUCCUCAAUGAAGAGCAAGAGACGGUAAUUGAGGAGGAAGCCCCGGCUAACUACGUGCCAGCAGCCGCGGUAAUACGUAGGGGGCAAGCGUUGUCCGGAAUGAUUGGGCGUAAAGGGCGCGUAGGCGGUUCGGUAAGUCUGAAGUGAAAGUCCUGUCUUCAAGGUGGGAAUUGCUUUGGAUACUGUCGAACUUGAGUGCAGGAGAGGUUAGUGGAAUUCCCAGUGUAGCGGUGAAAUGCGUAGAGAUUGGGAGGAACACCAGUGGCGAAGGCGGCUUACUGGACUGUAACUGACGCUGAGACACGAAAGCGUGGGGAGCAAACAGGAUUAGAUACCCUGGUA
This 436-nucleotide ribosomal RNA is filed under the name uncultured bacterium. RNAcentral's name for it is "partial 16S ribosomal RNA". It matches the Rfam family "Bacterial small subunit ribosomal RNA", at positions 341 to 792 of the family's 1533-position model. The record is from RNAcentral.